ACCCCAGGACGGACAGAACGGGCAUACCACUCCAUUGACACAGUCCUGCCAGGGACGGAGCAAUCCUGACAGGUGCUGAUCACCCUCAAUUGCAUUGAAGCCAGUGAGAACUGGAGUACCGAGCACUGCAUAGGGUCAGGCCCAGCAUUUCUGAUCUUAAAAAUAAAAGUGUAUAUUUCCUUCUAUAAUCUCAAAAUUAAUCUACUUUGACCACCAAAAAUACCAUAACAUUUAUGAAAAUAAAAUCACUUUCCUAGUUGA
This is a long non-coding RNA of Gopherus evgoodei (Goodes thornscrub tortoise), 261 nucleotides long. RefSeq lists it as uncharacterized. NCBI's taxonomy places the organism in Eukaryota, Metazoa, Chordata, Testudines, Testudinidae. The record is from RefSeq and is a predicted model, not a curated record. The transcript has 2 exons.